CAGCAGACACAUUCCAGCCAAUCAGCAGCAGACCCUCCCUCCCUCCCAGAUCCUCCCACCUCCUGGACAGCAUCCAUUGUGAAGCUGCAUUCUUAGUGAGCUGUCCAGGAGGUGGGAGGGUCUGGGAGGGAGGGUCUGCUGCUGAUUGGCUGGAAUGUGUCUGCUG
Molecule: non-coding RNA, 166 nt
Organism: Pelobates cultripes (western spadefoot toad)
Lineage: Eukaryota; Metazoa; Chordata; Amphibia; Anura; Pelobatidae
Source: the annotation of a GenBank genome assembly